RNAcentral lists this ribosomal RNA (784 nucleotides) under uncultured Actinomycetes bacterium. RNAcentral describes it as "bacterial SSU rRNA". It matches the Rfam family "Bacterial small subunit ribosomal RNA", at positions 75 to 874 of the family's 1533-position model. The record is from RNAcentral. Lineage: Bacteria; Bacillati; Actinomycetota; Actinomycetes.
CACCUUCGGGUGUGAAUUAGCGGCGAACGGGUGAGGAACACGUGAGAAAUCUGCCUUCAACUCUGGGAUAACUCCGGGAAACCGGGGCUAAUACCGGAUAUGAGCCUUGAUCGCAUGAUCGGGGCUGGAAAGUUUUUCGGUUGAAGAUGAUCUCGCGGCCUAUCAGCUUGUUGGUGAGGUAAUGGCUCACCAAGGCGACGACGGGUAGCCGGCCUGAGAGGGCGACCGGCCACACUGGGACUGAGACACGGCCCAGACUCCUACGGGAGGCAGCAGUGGGGAAUAUUGGGCAAUGGAGGAAACUCUGACCCAGCGACGCCGCGUGAGGGAUGAAGGCCUUCGGGUUGUAAACCUCUUUCAGUAGGGAAGAAGCGAAAGUGACGGUACCUACAGAAGAAGCACCGGCUAACUAUGUGCCAGCAGCCGCGGUAAUACAUAGGGUGCAAGCGUUGUCCGGAAUUAUUGGGCGUAAAGAGCUCGUAGGUGGUUUGAUACGUCGGAUGUGAAAAUCAGGGGCUCAACCCCUGACCUGCAUUCGAUACGGUCAAGCUAGAGUGUGGUAGGGGAGACUGGAAUUCCUGGUGUAGCGGUGGAAUGCGCAGAUAUCAGGAGGAACACCGAUGGCGAAGGCAGGUCUCUGGGCCAUUACUGACACUGAGGAGCGAAAGCGUGGGGAGCGAACAGGAUUAGAUACCCUGGUAGUCCACGCCGUAAACGGUGGGCGCUAGUUGUGCGAACCUUCCACGGUUUGUGCGACGCAGCUAACGCAUUAAGCGCCCCGCCU